Molecule: ribosomal RNA, 484 nt
Filed under: uncultured bacterium
Lineage: Bacteria
Description: bacterial SSU rRNA
Rfam family: Bacterial small subunit ribosomal RNA
Source: RNAcentral
AUUGAACGCUGGCGGCAUGCUUUACACAUGCAAGUCGAACGGUAACAGGGAGCUUGCUCCGCUGACGAGUGGCGAACGGGUGAGUAAUGCAUCGGAACGUACCCAGUCGUGGGGGAUAACGUAGCGAAAGUUACGCUAAUACCGCAUACGUCCUGAGGGAGAAAGCGGGGGACCGUAAGGCCUCGCGCGAUUGGAGCGGCCGAUGUCGGAUUAGCUAGUUGGUGGGGUAAAGGCCUACCAAGGCGACGAUCCGUAGCGGGUCUGAGAGGAUGAUCAGCCACACUGGAACUGAGACACGGUCCAGACUCCUACGGGAGGCAGCAGUAGGGAAUAUUGGACAAUGGGCGCAAGCCUGAUCCAGCCAUGCCGCGUGAGUGAAGAAGGCCCUCGGGUUGUAAAGCUCUUUUGUCCGGAAAGAAAAGCGCCGGGUUAAUACCCUGGUGUCCUGACGGUACCGGAAGAAUAAGCACCGGCUAACUUCGUG